GCCUCGAGGGAUAGCUCAGCUGGUAGAGCAUGAGACUCAGAAUCUAAGGAUUGUGGGUUUGAGCCCCAUGUUGGGUG
Podarcis lilfordi (Lilford's wall lizard) is the source of this 77-nucleotide non-coding RNA. The record is from the annotation of a GenBank genome assembly. NCBI's taxonomy places the organism in Eukaryota, Metazoa, Chordata, Lepidosauria, Squamata, Lacertidae.